AACGAACGCUGGCGGCAUGCCUAAUACAUGCAAGUCGAACGAGUCUUUCUGGUCCAUUGGCUCCCGGGUGCGUAACGCGUGGGUACCUGCCCUUUGGUUCGGACUAACUUCCCGAAAGGGUUACUAAUACCGGAUAAUGUCUUCGGACUAAAGAUUUAUCGCCUUUGGAUUUGCCCGCUUUGGAUUAGCUAGUUGGUAGGGUAAAAGCCUACCAAGGCGACGAUCCAUAGCUGGUCUGAGAGGAUGAUCAGCCACACUGGGAGUGAGACACGGCCGAGACUCUUACGGGAGGAAGCAAGGGGGAAUAGUGAACAAUGGGCGAAAGAAUGAUCCAGUAAGGCCGCGUGAGUGAUGAAGGACAUAGGGUUGAAAAGCUCAGUUAACAGGGAAGAUAAUGACAGUACCGAGAGAAUAAGCUACGGCUAACUCCGUG
This 433-nucleotide ribosomal RNA is filed under the name uncultured bacterium. RNAcentral describes it as "partial 16S ribosomal RNA". It matches the Rfam family "Bacterial small subunit ribosomal RNA", at positions 29 to 507 of the family's 1533-position model. The record is from RNAcentral.